This 254-nucleotide ribosomal RNA is filed under the name uncultured bacterium. Its description in RNAcentral is "partial 16S ribosomal RNA". It matches the Rfam family "Bacterial small subunit ribosomal RNA", at positions 524 to 777 of the family's 1533-position model. The record is from RNAcentral.
UACGGGGGGUGCGAGCGUUGUCCGGAAUCACUGGGCGUAAAGGGCGCGUAGGUGGUUUGAUAAGGGUGUGGUGAAAGUCCGGAGCUCAACUCCGGAUCUGCCGUGCCGACUGUCAAACUCGAGGGCUGUAGAGGCAGACGGAAUUCCGGGUGUAGCGGUGGAAUGCGUAGAGAUCCGGAGGAAGACCGGUGGCGAAGGCGGUCUGCUGGGCAGUUUCUGACACUGAGGCGCGACAGCGUGGGGAGCAAACAGGG